CCUUUACAGAUGCUCCCAGUACACACUGGAGAAUAAAAGUUAGAAGGCGACAAAUACUUCAGGACUGCACUCACACUAUGUUGAGUUCUGUAGAAUUUUUGCUGACAACCUUGAAGCCAGAGGGAAACCACAGCUUUGUUUUACUUAAAAAGGUCUCUGACUAAGAAACUGAAAGACUGUUAAGAAACUGUUAGCAUCUGUGAUGAUACCACGUCCAAAGAAAUCUUUGAAAAGGCCAAAUCAUGUGAAGGAUAUUUGCUUUAUUGUCCUGCAGUAAUACUCUGGAAAUUACCAUUAAAGGAAUAUUUUGCUGAGAAAAUAAAAGCUGCUUUCUCCUGAGGCCAAAAUUUAAGCAAAGAAGACAGCAGAUGUUUUCUUUUAGUACCUCAUGUGGCUGGGACCGAGCUUCUACAACAGCUGCUCUGUGAAUGGAGGAAGUGGUGCUCUUGGUGUCUCUACAUCUAUAAGAAAAGCAUACGUAUCCGUCUCCUUUUCAUGUUGCUUCAGGGCUGGAGGCACCUAACAGCAAGUUAUUUUGACCAAAAAAGAAAAAAAAAUAGAGAGCGAGAGAAGAAAAACACAGAAAACAGUUUUAUAUCAACCCACAAGUUCACAGAAUCACAGAAUCACAG
Long non-coding RNA from Gallus gallus (chicken), 632 nucleotides. The record is from Ensembl. NCBI's taxonomy places the organism in Eukaryota, Metazoa, Chordata, Aves, Galliformes, Phasianidae.